UCGUUACCAUUUUCCACUUCAGUUUUGCCCAUGAGUGUAUCCUAAAGAAUUACAGAGAAUCCACAGUAUUGAACAAUUGAAACCGCAUAAAAAAGUCGAUAGACGAGUGGGUAACACCCUCGAUUCCAGACAGUCAUGAACUUAGCAUUCAUUAUUACAUAUUGUUCAUAUUGUAUUGUUACAUAUUGCAAUGUUCUCAUAUUCAGUAAUCGAUGCCUUGCUCCGUUACUUCAUUGAGUAAAGCUGCCAGGGAUUCUCCGUUGUAGCCACCAUCAUAUAUUAAAAGUUGCUUAACUUCGUGUUUUAUGUUUACUAAAAUACAACUUUAAAAAGCCUUGUAAAAAUAUAUGCUAUAAAUAUGUAAAUAUGUUUUUUCGCAUCGCAGUUAUCAACUCGAAGCUUGCGGCGGCCAAUGUAACAAGCCAGCGUCGCCAUCUAUUAACAAAACUUGUAACUAUUUUAGUAAAAUUUGUUUUAAUUUUCUCUGCUAAUAAAAGAAACGGAAUAGAAAUCGACCCCAGCGCUCUCAAGCCCCAUCCGUCCUAGGGGUGGGAUGAAAUACAUUUCUGGAAACAAAUUUUAUCUUAAACUCCUGGAAUAUUUCAGAUAGUAUUCAAAUUUGAAAUACAUUUCCGCCACAGAAAGUCUUUAAUUAGGUGAUUAACUUUUGCCAGCCUGGGGCGAUAUAAAAUGCAAAGAAUCUGGACAGCCCACCUGUCACUUUGCUAACUGGUACCUAAAAUCUGUAGACGGAAUCGCCUCGUCUAAUCAUAACUUGUUUCUUACAUGCUCAAUUGUUAACCCUCAUUAGAAAAACCCUUUAGACUUUGACAUAGAUACAAGGAGUUACAGGGAAUUCGAUUUCUCUACCCAGCGCAUGUUUCUAAGCUCGUCCAUCGGUGAAUUUGUUCCAGGCUGCGCAAUAUUUAAAAGAGCUCCCAACGUGCCGAUCCUUUCCAACCUCCCGACUGGAUCACCCUCAUUUCAGCCACGCUUAAAGCGUCGUAAACUACGAUGUCAGCUCGGUUAUCCGAGGUUUGUCGUUAAGCAUCUUGCUUACGACAUCGGCUACUAAAUCUCCCCACCUAGCACAAAGUUCACCUGGUACCUCUCCGCUUCCUCUAAAGAGGAGGGGACUUGCAGACUUCUGGCCUGACCGUGGCCUUCCACAAAUACCCUAGUCUGAGAAUCGAGACAUGGUCACUGCCUACGAUUCUUAGAAUUCAAGUUGAUAUGAUGAAAUAGGGUGAUUGAUUACCCUAAUAAUAGAAAUCAAACUUAUACUCCCAUAGGAGGAGACCUAACAAAAUGGAGCGAAUUCCUUUCCUAACAAUAGAGUUGUACAGUCCUGUGAGGCCAUUCGAUCCUAACAAAUAAAGAAAUCAAAAUUAAAAAUUGAAUCUAUUGGUUCCCUGACCCUAUUCUAAUGUAUUUUGGGCUCACAAUAUAAUAGUUUUUAACCUUCUUCUACAUUUAUUCCCCUUCACAUUCACACAAUUUAGUCACUGAGGGCAUUCAUCCUAAGGUUAGAAGCUGCUAUAGACGCCAAAACACUCAAUUGUUUCUAUCAAAUAGACCCUUACAAUAAUAAAAUCUUCUAGGACUAAUGUGAAAUCAAAUAAAGUCAUCUAAUUAAAACAGAGUGGGGACUAAAGCCCUAUUAACUUAAAUAAAUGCCUCAUACAAACUCUAUAUAAAUUAUCUAAUCAUAGAUAAAUAUUAUUUAUAAAUUAACAGAUAAAUGAAUCAAACUAUGUUGAUUGUCAACAAUUGUAUUCUGAAAUCUAGCCUAUCACUUUAACUGUGUGUCUAACAGUUUGAAAAUCUUCUUACCUUGACACUUGGUGUCUAAAUAAACGAAUCAUCAAGACUAGCACUUAAAUGGAGCGAACUGUACUUCAAGCAUUUGCCUCAUUGCCAAACCUGAUAGACCCACAAGUGUUUUUUCCAACCCUAUUUCUUAUAUAGGUCAUUGGCAUUCUUCUUUUCCUCUGCUAUUCAGCUAAACUCUUUCUUUGGACUUAUAGGGUUUUCAGUACCCAGCUCGUUCUGGAGUUUAACAACUGAGGUUACUUGUUGCUCUAUCAUAUCAAAUCUUAGACUGUAAUUGCCUUACACACUCUCAUUAGAGAUUCUCCUUGGACUAUAAUUGGAUCCAGGGAUUACAGGGAGUCAAGUUUUACCCAACGCAAGCUCCAAGUCAUUCCAUAGAGAAUUGGUUACAAGCACAGCAAUUAUCUAAUGCGUCUAAGUCCCUUAAUUGUUUUUAAAGUUGAACCACUGUUCAGGACCUUCAAAAAAAAAUUAAAACAAAAUAAACUUUUUGAACUCACGACUUAAAUCACAAUUUGCUAUUAACACAGAAUAGCCUCUGCAAUAAAAAAAAACUGAAAAUCCUUUAAGGCCACAAUCUAGGGCCAUUAACUCACACUCUAAUACUUCAUACUAUGAUCAAAAAUUUAACUAACUCUAGUACACAUUCUAUAGGUUUAAUCAUUGGCAACCUGGACAUGAUUUGCACUCAAUGGGCCUCUUGACCCUGGUUGAACGGCGUAAUUCAGGGCCGUCAAUAUUGUUACCAUUUGCCCUAUUUACUACCUCAGGCGGGUUUCCUAAGGUUGCUGUCUCUCGAGGUUCCCCUGGUUCUACAGUUCUAUGGGAAUGUAUGGGAUACGUUGGAUGUACCCAGUGAUCCUCAUCAUCAAUGAUACUAUCUAUUUGUUCUUGUGCGUUUUCGUCCCCCGUAGGGUAAGUCUUUACCGGGGCAUGAUAGGCCUUCAUUCUGUCUAUGUGAAUCUUGUCUAAGUGCCCCGUCUCCAAAUCCUUCAAAAGGUAAACAGUGUCGCCUGUCCUUUGUAGUACCUCAUAUGGUCCUCUAUACCUUGGCUCAAAUUUGUGAUGUUCUUUCGUCUCAUGCAUUCUCUUUACCAAAGCUAGAUUCCCUGUCUCAAAGGUCCUUAAUUCUCUAGCUUCAAACUCAGCCCUGGCUUCUUGUUGCUCCUUCAAGUAAGUCUGCCUCACCACCUCUCUCGCCUUUUCAACCUCCUCCACCAAUUCCCGCUCAUAGAAGGCCGCCAUUUCGGUAAUUGAAUCUUCGCAUACAGGAUUAAGCUCCUCUUCCUGGAAAGGUUGUGGGAGCCUCAGCUCAUGUCCGAAGACCAGUUUCGCUGGAGUAAAUCCAGUACUAGAGUGUACAGUGGUCCUGAUAGCUAAGGCUAUCAUUGGUAAGGUGGUAUCCCAAUUGUUCCCCCCUGUACACCUGCGUAGAGAUUCUAUUACCGUCCUAUUGAGCCUUUCUACGGCGCCAUUACUCUGAGGUCUCCAGGCCGUGGUAUUUACUGCUCCAACCCCCAUAGCUUUGCAGACUCCCUUGAAUACGCAACUCAUGAAUGCUGAUCCUCGGUCAGAGAGUAUCGUUUUUGGUACCCCAAAGGUAGUGAUUAUCCUUUCCAACAAGGCCCUAACCACUGUAUUGGCACACUGGUCCUUAGUAGGAAUCAGGAUUGGGAACUUAGUGAAAAGAUCCACAAUGGUCAGAAUACUCGAAUAACCCCGUGGGGUUACUUCUAACGGUCCUAUGAAGUCUAGAGCCAGGUGCUCAAAGGGUUUUUUCGGGUCUAAAGUGGGGAGCACUAGCGGCUUUGGCUACGCCUUGAUUCGAUAGCUGGCAGCUCUCGCAUCUGCGUAUAUAUUUCCGGACUUGUGUCCUCAUGCCAGGCCAGUAAUAGUCACCCUUCAGCCUUCUCAUAACCUUUCUAACUCCAAAAUGACCUCCAGUAGCGAUGUCAUGAUGAUAGCUGAUCACUGUUUCCCUAAAACCUGUAGGAACCACCUUCACCCAGGUACCCCUUUCAUUCUUUGUAACGAGGUAUUUGUCUAGUAACCUAUAUUCCCGGUUAUUAUACCUCUCCGUGCUAUUUGGUUUUAAUUUCGUUAACUUAUUCAUUACUGGGGCCCAUCCUUUCUCUUGAAGUAAACCUUCCCAUAUCUGAUUACUAUUUAAUAAGGGGGGCCGACGGUCCCUUACCACCGCGGCCACUACCCUCCUAUCUUGUGGCAGGUUUGGAUCAUCCUCGCACGGGAACCUACUAAGGAAGUCGGCUACCGUGUUUUCCUUCCCCGGGACAUAAAUGAAUGUAACGUUGAAGUCCUGGAUGAUCUCUGCCCACCUAGACAGUCUGGCGUUCUUAUAAUCAGACCCCUUAUUAUAAGUAAUCGGUUUAUGGUCAGUAUGUACUUCUACUCUACUGCCCGCCAGGAGGUGUUUGAAGUGCUGUAGGGACAACACUACUGCAUAAGCCUCCUUUUCUAUUGUGGAAUAGCGGAUCUCAGGACCAGUCAGUCUCUUGCUAUAAUAAGCAAUUGGCCUCACUGUCCCAUUGACCUCCUGUUGGAGGCAAGCGCCCACCGCUAUCCCACUGGCGUCAGUGUUCAGGAUGAAAGGCAUCCCAAUUGUUGGGUGAAUUAGUAGUGGCUCGCUGGUUAAUAUUCCCUUCACCGUUUCAAAGGCUGACUGCUCUAUCAUACCCCAAGCAAAUCUAUGUCCCUUCCUUAAUAGGUUGCUCAGUGGAGCCAGGACCUCACCUGCGUUGGGAAUAAAGCGUCGGUAGUAGUUAACUGUACCCAAUAGACUUCUGACUGCCUUGAUGUUAUGAGGCCGUUUCAAAUCCCUGAGAGCGGCGACAUUAUCCCACAUGGGUUUGAUCCCAUUUUGGUCGAUUAUAUGACCCAGGUACUCUACUGAGUCCCUGAAGAGAUAGCUCUUCCCGUAUUUGGCCUUCAAACCGAACUUACUCAGGCGUUCGAGUACAGCGGCGAGGUCCGCUACACGCUGCUCGUGAGAGUCGCUGUAGACAAUGACGUCAUCGAUGUACAGGCGAACGCAUUUGAACAACAAGUCACCCAGGACCAAAUUCAUGGCCCACUGGAAGACUUGUGCCGAGUUUUUAGCUCCUUGUGGCAAACGCGUGAAGCGGUAUCUUCCCCAGGGCAGAGAGAAGGUAGAAUAAUCUCUGUAACUCUCCGGGAUGUGUAUCUGGAAGAAUCCAGAAGUCAGAUCUAAUGUGCUGAAGACUUUUGCACCCGCAAAUGCGCGCAGAUUGUCUUCAACACGGGGUAUCGGGAACGGGAAGAAUUCAGUUGCCUCAUUGAUCAUACGUAGAUCCAUGGUGAUGCGAACACUACCAUCAGUUUUGGCAACCGGGAAUAGAGGGGAAUUCCACAGAGAGGUGCUCCCUUCUAUUAUCCCUACUUCCUCCAGUUCGUCUACUAACGCUUUCACCUUUGAGACUAAUCUGUUCGGGAUUGGAUAUUGCCUCCUAUAUACUGGUUUACUAGUCAGCAUCCUCAGUUUAGGGGCUGUGAUGGUGGAGCCAUUCCCCAUAUCUUUUAUAUCAUUGCAAAAGCAAUGACUGAAGGCCCUGAAAAUAUCGUGGCCCGUGUGGAUCUCGUUUAGGGGUAUCCUGGGUGGCAGAGGAGACAUUUCUAUCGUUUGUAGAGAGGAAAGAAAGGCCGACUUGGUCGGAUCCUCCCUCCUUUCGUAGUCGGACCUAAUACUACCGUCGUAGCAAAGGUGUAGUUUUAGAGCUCGGAAACCUGGUAAUCCGAGUAUGCCAUCAAAUCCUAACUCCCCCAUGUGACAAUACUCGAAGGUUGUCCUUACCUCCCUAAUGGGCUUACCGUUCACCACUGCCCCUAUUUCCAACACCUCACUCCUUAAUGACCUUAAAGAUUUUCCUGAUAUACCUUUAAGGUAAGUAGGCUUGUCUAGUCCCUCAGUGCAUACAUUUAAAUUGUCAAUAUUUACAAUGUUGGCCUCAGAGCCUGAAUCUAGGAUAAAUUUUAGACACUUCUCGUCCAGAGACCUCCCUUUUUUCAAAAUAUAUACAUUUAUGGCAGGUAAACUGGCCGCAAAUCCCCCUCCUGCCUUGAGGCAAGCCGGACCUAGUUUUUUCUCUGCUUCUGCUGGCAGUCUCGGAUGAGGUGCCCUGGCUCGCCGCACCCAUAGCACUUGGGGGGCGGUCUCCCUGCACCCUGCUUCUUGUAGUCCACUCCAGGGUUCUCCUCUCUUUCACCGUUGGGUUCCCUCCUUUGUUGUCUAUGCGGGGAUGGAUUCCGUUGUUGUCUGGGUGGUUGUUGUGCUGGUCUCCUCUGCCAGUUCCUGAAGGGGGCUCCCCUCCUGUUAUCCUGGGCGUUGUCUCCGUAAUCCCUUCUCCCUGCGGGGUGUGAUGGCCACCUUCCUCCCCCGCUAUUUGCAUUAUUGGCACCCCCUCUUUGUCUUCUAAGGGCUGCAUUCUCUACUUCUAGCGCCUCCAUUUUCUUCUCCAGCUCGGCCAAUUUGUUGCCCAUGUCACCCAGCCUCUGACCGUUCCUGUCGGCGCUGGAGCGCUGCGCUUCCCUGUAGUCUUCCUCUCUCUGUUCCAGCCACUGUAGCUUGGUAACUAGGGUCUCCCAGGGCUCGCCUUGAUAUAGAUGAGCCUUCUCCCACAGGCUGGGGCAGAGUCCGUCGGUGAAAACCUCCGCGAUCUCCGAGGUGCCUAUCUUCAGGCCAUCCGACUCUGCUCCAGCUGCAAGGUCGCUCACCCGCGCGGCGAAGUCUCGUACCUUCUCCCCGGCCCCUUGUCUACAUGAGAAGAACUGGCUCCUCCUUUUACCCCUUUUACUCCCCUCUAGACUCUCCUUCAACUCUUCGUAUCCGAGGCGGAUUUGUUGAGAUUGUAGGGCAAACUCCCUCGCAGCCCCCCGGAGGUGGUUGUCCAAGAGGAUUCUUUUCCUGGCGUCGUCUAGGGCCUUUAGGUCGUAGACAAGCUCAAAGUCCUUUAUGAAUUUCGUGAAGGGGACAAUGCCCUUCCCUUCAAACUUCUCCAGGUUGUAUAGCAUGGAGGGCAGCUGGGCUUGGCUAGUUGCGGCAUUCUCUUCAUCAGCAGGCAUGGUCCUCAGUUGUUGGAUCUACAGGAACUAGGUAUUAGUCAUUCACCCUGGUUGUAACGGGAGUAUUAGGACCCAUAGAGGCGGGCGGAGUAGGGAACACAAAACAGAAGGAAGGGGAGGGGCCUUUCUUAAUCAUGUUCCUAAGACACUAUGGGGUUCACGUUUCAAAAGGAAAUUGGUAUUCAAUAACAUAGAAACCAUACAUGUAUGUGUGUGUGGAUGUGAACGCAAACAUCGCGUUGGGUAAAAAUGAAGAUCCUGUAAAAGAAAUCCGAGUGAUGUGGACGCAAACAUCGCGUUGUGUAAAUGGAGACUCUCUAUAAAAGAAAUCCGAGUGAUGAGAACGCAAACAUCGCGUUGUAAAAAAAAAGAAGAUUCUAUAAAAGAAACCCGAGUGAUGUGAACGCAAACAUCGCGUUGUAAAAAAAAAUGAUUCUAUAAAAGAAACCCGAGUGAUGUGAACGCAAACAUCGCGUUGUGAAAAUUGAAGGUUCUAUAAAAGAAAUCCGAGUGAUGUGAACGCAAACAUCGCGUUGUGAAAAAAUGAAGAUUCUAUAAAAGAAACCUGAGUGAUGUGAACGCAAACAUCGCGUUGUGAAAAUGGAGAUUCUAUAAAAGAAACCCGAGUGAUGUGAACGCUAACAUCGCGUUGUAAAAUAAAUGAAGAUUCUAUAAAAGAAACCUGAGUGAUGUGAACGCAAACAUCCCGUUGUGAAAAUUGAAGGUUCUAUAAAAGAAAUCCGAAUGAUGUGAACGCAAACAUCGCGUUGUGAAAAAUGAAGAUUCUAUAAAAGUGAACAAAAUAAAAAAAAUUGACCCAUAAAACGACUGUACAUCAUUACAAAGGCAUAAAAUAGGGAUUGUUCAUCAUUAUUAUGCAUUGACGAUCUUUUGAGAAAUGUUUAACUCGUGGCGAUUACCCGCCGAGUAUAACGUAUUUUUAAAGUGGGUGGAAGACAAUUUCGAAAAAAAAAGUAUAAAAUUACACGUGUGUAAAAAUAUGUAAAAAGGCGUCGUGAACAGAUAAAGAAAUUUUCGACUCAAAAUGAUUAUUCAUCACUACAAUAUAUUUUAAAAGUGAACAAAAUAAAAAAAAAUUGUCCCACAAGACAAUUGUGCAUCAUUACUACUCAUUUCUAGACAUUCAAACAAAGCUUUUAUCAAAAAUCAUGAAAAUACACAAAGAUGGGCGUAUUUAAACGUUGAAUAUUUCUUUGAAAUUAUGAGAAAGUUGGACAAAAGGCAUAAAAUAGGGAUUGUUCAUCAUUAUUAUGCAUUUUUGUUUUAGGCUUAAUGUAAAUCGUGGUAGAGCAUGAGAUUUUUUUAUUUCAGGUCGUGGGGUUUACUUCGUGUAAAGUUGCUUUACACUUUUCAACAGUAACUUGCCUCGCGUGGGCGCCAAAUGUUAGAUCCGUUCUAACUCAGUGGUUGUAUCCAGAUUUAUACAUGAAGGAAACAUGUUACACACCAAGAAUACACACCUGUUUUAUAAUUUGAUUAAGGAUAAAAAUACUGCCAAUACACUUUGUAAACGCUAAACAUCUAAUUUUAUUUAGCUCUGUAGAUUUGCAGCAUUACAUUUCAAGGACAAUUUUGCGUGGACAAGAUCAGUGAUUGCACCCAGAUUUAUACAUGAAGGAAACAUGUUACACACCAAGAAUACACACAUGUUUUGUAUUUUGAUUAAAAAAAUAUCACCAGUUUACUUUAAAAAUGCUAAACAUGAAAUUUUAUUUAUCAUUGUGGAAUUUAUAGAGCUUCUUUUUCUAUUUGUAGAUAGCAAUGAACAAAAAAAAAAUUGUAUUGAACAUUAAAUUUUAUUCAUCUUUAUAGAAAUUUAUACGAGAAAAUUCCUUAUUUGUAGGCAGCAAAAUUUUACCAACAGCCUAUAAUUUGAUAAUUCUAUCAAAUUACCACGUUUAGAUAACAUGAUCAAUCGAUAAUAAUUAAUACCUUUAAGAAAACAUAAGGUUGAAACCUCAAUUCAUCUUAUAUCUUAAAUAGUCGAGUCUAUCUAAAUUUAGUAUUUGCCAUGGUUUUUACCAUGUUUUCUAUAUGAACUCGUUAUGUCAAAAUUUAAGUUGACUUACCAGAUAUCCUUUCUACAUACGCCUUUCAAGCCCCCAUGGCCCCAGAACGUCUCUCCUCUCCUGAUAAAAAUUCGAUCCGCUGCCGCUGAAAACUUGAUCAAGACUGCCCUGUUUUCAAACAGCGCCCCCAGUGUAAAAAUUUUCCUACAGAGUAAUAAAACUUAUACAUAUAACUAUUCUUAGAAUAUUUAAAAAGAAAAUAAUAUUAUUAUUAAUUUUAAAAGAGAAAAUUUUUGGAAUAAAAAUAAUAUUAUUAUUUUUUUUUUUUAAGAGAAAAUUUGAAAUUAUACAUAUACAUGCUUAACCUACGAGAUUUAUUAAUAAUUUCUUCUUCAAGAAAUUUAAAUAACUAGACACACCUAUUUUAUCUAGUUAUGUAUGUGGCUGAUUUUAUCCAUUUUAGAAUAAAAUAAAUAUUAAAGAAAAUUUAAAUUAACUUUCUUAUCGAGAGAUAAUUUAGAUUAGUAAUGAAAUAAAAAUAAAAUCUAUCAUGUUUGCCCCUCUGAGAAACCUACAUAAUAAUUUCUUCUUUAAGAAAUUCUAAAAAAUACUAAAUAUGUCCAAUCUAUCUAAAUGUGAUAUCAUAAGUUAUAUACAAAAUUAAAAAAAAGGUGAAGAGGUAGGCUGGUUUAACAAAGAAGAAUGCUCGAAGUCCUCUUCUUUCUUGUCGAGGCAGCUUCUCCAUUGUCCACCAGCUUUCCAUUUACACUGUGGGUGAACUUUAAAGGCAUAGGCAUCAUCUCCAACUGAAUGUCUCCCCGGUUCCUGGUCUUCCUCUGGUUCUGUUUGCAUCGGGCUUCUGGCUACUUAAACAGGGCCGAUGUCAUCUUCCUACAGCAGAU
Molecule: non-coding RNA, 9862 nt
Organism: Cordylochernes scorpioides
Lineage: Eukaryota; Metazoa; Arthropoda; Arachnida; Pseudoscorpiones; Chernetidae
Source: the annotation of a GenBank genome assembly